Molecule: ribosomal RNA, 465 nt
Filed under: uncultured bacterium
Lineage: Bacteria
Description: partial 16S ribosomal RNA
Rfam family: Bacterial small subunit ribosomal RNA
Source: RNAcentral
GAUGAACGCUGGCGGCGUGCUUAACACAUGCAAGUCGAACGGAAAGGCUCCUGCUUGCAGGGGUACUCGAGUGGCGAACGGGUGAGUAACACGUGGGUGAUCUGCCCUGCACUUCGGGAUAAGCCUGGGAAACUGGGUCUAAUACCGGAUAGGACGAUGGUUUGGAUGCCAUUGUGGAAAGUUUUUCGGUGUGGGAUGAGCUCGCGGCCUAUCAGCUUGUUGGUGGGGUAAUGGCCUACCAAGGCGUCGACGGGUAGCCGGCCUGAGAGGGUGUACGGCCACAUUGGGACUGAGAGACGGCCCAGACUCCUACGGGAGGCAGCAGUGGGGAAUAUUGCACAAUGGGCGGAAGCCUGAUGCAGCGACGCCGCGUGGGGGAUGACGGCCUUCGGGUUGUAAACUCAUUUCGCUAGGGACGAAGCGCAAGUGACGGUACCUGGAGAAGAAGCACCGGCUAACUACGUG